Molecule: long non-coding RNA, 1942 nt
Organism: Puntigrus tetrazona (Sumatra barb)
Lineage: Eukaryota; Metazoa; Chordata; Actinopteri; Cypriniformes; Cyprinidae
Exons: 3
Source: RefSeq, a predicted model, not a curated record
GGCUUUGAUAGUGUUAUGAAAAGCUUAUUUCUCAGUUGAGAUCAGCUGGUGCGCAUGCGCAGUCCUACGCAUACGUCUCAGAAUGCUGAGUUUUUCUAUAGCAACCGGAAUGUAGAAAAAUUUGAUUGGUUGACUGAGUCCUAAUAAGAACACCUGUGGUCUUAUACUAAUCAAGCUUCAGUUUCAGUCUGUUUGCGUGUAUGAGAAGCCGUCUCUGUGCUCAUACAUGGCCUGUGGGGAAUUGUUGCGUUGUUGACAAAACAACAACAAUUACCAGCACUUGUAACCGUGGAAAUGUCUACUCCUACAUGUUGAUAUGCUGAGGAAUCAACUGGAAACAUGAGGCUGGUGACUGAAUGAGCUUUAAUGGACUCAACCUUCCGGCAGCAAAAAUUCCUUCCAAUGUUCUAUACAGAACUUUUAACAACAGUUGCAGUGACAUGCUGACUUUACAGUUCAGCGAUUGGCUAUUUUAUUCAGAAGGCGGGGCUUCUUGCGAUUGAUCAGUCACGUUGCAUUUUUUCCCCAUUCAAAACUACUACAUGAGCGACAUGUCCAUUGGGUACGGUCUUUGAUAAUACGCAGCUGGUGUUUUCAACAGGGAUGCUACAACCUCCAUCUCGGUUUGUCUGAAGGGGCUGAGGAGUGCUAUUUCCUGUGCUGAGUGUAAAAGAAAGAAAACGAAGAAGAAAAAGAACAGAGAAAGAUGGAGAGAGAGAAAGAGACUGCUGCAAAGGCCUCUGGGUAUUGGCUGGUUUGUGGUUAGGUCACAGUCUGAAGCGAGAGGAGGAAGGAGGAGCGGGAGGGGGGCUUCCACUUUCCUUCCUACCGCUCACCAAAUUGAUACAGCCACUGCCAAGGGGAAACUCCCAAAGCGGGACCCAUUUAGGGCAAAACAGGGCAAAAAAGCACAAAAAUGUGACGGCAGAACCCUAAAGCUCGCAGAGAACUUUGCACUCGCUCGAGGAGGGAAUGCACUUCAACGACACAGGCAGAAAAGCAAGGCUUGUGUGUUUUGCACCUGUGUGGAGCCCGGCUGAAAGGAGAUGUGUGGAAAGAGACAUCUGUGGAGAGGUGGAGGAAAGUGAGAGAAGGCUGGAGGGAGUUAUAUGUGUGGGGAGAGAGAGAGAGAGAGAAAGAGAGAGAGACAGAUAACUGGAGGAAAACUGUGAAACAGUGGUUUGAUAAAAAUGGGUGCACAGCUGUCAAUAGCUGAAGUGAAAACAGGAAACAAAUGAAGAUGUCAUCUCCCGACACAUCUGACAACCCCAUGAUGACAUUGAGUAGGUAUUUUAGGAUGCGAGUAGGAGUGAGAAUUCACAGGCGGAUGGCUCGAAGAGUACGUUUUGACCGAUCACACAGACCCCUGGCACAGUAUCGCUCCAUGCCCUCCUUGCGGGUACGAGGCAAGACAUUAGGCCUCAGAAUCUGAGUGUUAGCGACUUGCUUGCUCUGUUCACACUCUCACAUCCUGAGCAGGCGUUUGAGCGUUGCGGACUGAAAAGGUCAGUGGAACGUAACCACAGAGGAGCUGAAGGAGCCCGUUAGCUGUGACAACCAAAGGCCUAACACUGGUCUCGCAUCUCUGUAUGGAGUGUAGUGUCACUUACUCAGCAAACCCUUAUCGCAAAGAUGUCCCCUGACACUACGGAAGCAUUUCCAGACACUUGUCUUGACAAAGUACAAUUAAUAUUUUUGUUUAAUUAAAAUUAGUUUAUUUUUAUUAAAUGUUCCAUUUCAUGUUAAUGUAAUAUAAAUUAAAAUAUUAAAAAAUAUUUAAAUAAGCAAUAAACAAUAGCAAUGGUAACAUGUCAGCAUAAUAUAGAAUGUAAAAUUAUGUUUAAUCAAUGCUACACUCUUCUUGUUAUUUAAAAAAAUUAAAUAACAUUAUAUUGAACUAAUCUAAAAUAUUAAACUAAUCACAAAAUGAAAAAUUUUGAUA